AUGAAUCUCAUCAGUUGGAACUGUCGGGAUGGGGGGAACUCCCGGACAGUUCGUGAAAUUGCGACAAUCUCUUAGUCACAUUCCAUCAUGUUCGUUUUUCUGUGUGAGACUAGGCAGAAGGAUGAAAAAAUGAUAAGGUUUCGUGCACGUCUCGGCUUGAAAGGAUUUGAUGGUGUUGAUAGUAAUGGUUUGACUAGCGGACUAGCGCUCUUUUGGCAUGAAUCAUGUGGUGUUGAGGUUUUGGAUAAGGAUGCUCGUUACAUCGAUGCCUUGGUCAGGUUGCAGGCUGAUGCGGAGCAAUGGCGGGUUACUUCUGUUUAUGGAGAACCACGUAUCGCAAACCGUCAUCUUAUGUGGGCAAAAGUUCUAGGUUUAAAAAAUAUCAGCGACUGGCCGUUUCUUGUAAUUGGAGACUUCAAUGAAUCCUUUUGGAACUUUGAACACCUCUCUGCUACCCUGAGGCUAGAACAACAGAUGAUAGCAUUGAGAAAUGUUUUGGAAAUUUGCGGUUUGGUUGAUAUUUGCUUUUCUGGUAUCCUGUUUACUUAUGAUAGUUCGCGUGCCGGGGCCAACAACGUCAAGGUUCGUCUAGACAUGGCAACGACAACGAAUGAAUGGAGUAAUCUUUUUCUGUUUUCACCAAGUUCAACAUGUUGUAUCACCUUGCUCGGACCAUGUCACACUGGUGUUGAUGGGCGCUCCUGA
Molecule: ribosomal RNA, 705 nt
Filed under: Triticum aestivum (bread wheat)
Lineage: Eukaryota; Viridiplantae; Streptophyta; Magnoliopsida; Poales; Poaceae
Description: partial small subunit ribosomal RNA
Source: RNAcentral